AUUGAACGCUGGCGGCAGGCCUAACACAUGCAAGUCGAGCGAGUGGCGGACGGGUGAGUAAUGUCUGGGGAACUGCCUGAUAGAGGGGGAUAACUACUGGAAACGGUAGCUAAUACCGCAUACCAUCAGAUGUACCCAGAUGGGAUUAGCUUGUUGGUGGGGUAAAGGCUCACCAAGGCGACGAUCCCUAGCUGGUCUGAGAGGAUGACCAGCCACACUGGAACUGAGACACGGCCCAGACUCCUACGGGAGGCAGCAGUGGGGAAUAUUGCACAAUGGGCGCAAGCCUGAUACAGCCAUGCCGCGUGUAUGAAGAAGGCCUUCGGGUUGUAAAGUACUUUCAGCGGGGAGGCGUUACCCGCAGAAGAAGCACCGGCUAACUCCGUGCCAGCAGCCGCGGUAAUUC
RNAcentral lists this ribosomal RNA (406 nucleotides) under uncultured bacterium. Its description in RNAcentral is "partial 16S ribosomal RNA". It matches the Rfam family "Bacterial small subunit ribosomal RNA", at positions 30 to 526 of the family's 1533-position model. The record is from RNAcentral.